GACGAACGCUGGCGGCGUGCUUAACACAUGCAAGUCGAACGGUGAACUCCGCUUGCGGGGGGAUCAGUGGCGAACGGGUGAGUAACACGUGGGCAACCUGCCCUCAGCUCUGGGAUAACUCCAAGAAAUUGGGGCUAAUACCGGAUAUGACCGCUGACCGCAUGGUCUGGUGGUGGAAAGAUUUAUCGGCUGGGGAUGGGCCCGGGGCCUAUCAGCUUGUUGGUGGGGUAGUGGCCUACCAAGGCGACGACGGGUAGCCGGCCUGAGAGGGUGACCGGCCCAACUGGGACUGGGACAAGGCCCAGACUCCUACGGGAGGGAAGGGGGGGGAAUAUUGCGCAAUGGGCGAAAGCCUGACGCAGCGACGCCGCGUGGGGGAUGACGGCCUUCGGGUUGUAAACCUCUUUCAGCAGGGACGAAGCGAAAGUGACGGUACCUGCAGAAGAAGCACCGGCCAACUACGUG
Molecule: ribosomal RNA, 465 nt
Filed under: uncultured bacterium
Lineage: Bacteria
Description: partial 16S ribosomal RNA
Rfam family: Bacterial small subunit ribosomal RNA
Source: RNAcentral